GACGAAGGUGGCGAGCGUUGUUCGGAAUCACUGGGCAUAAAGCGCACGAGGCGGCGUGUCGCGUCGGGAGUGAAAGCCCGCUGCUUAACGGCGGGUUGGCUUCCGGUACGGGCAUCGCUGGAGUGCGGCAGGGGAGACUGGAAUUCCUGGUGAUAGCGGUGGAAUGCGCAGAUAUCAGGAGGGAACACCGGUGGGCGGAAGGCGGGUCUCCUGGGCCGUUACUGAC
RNAcentral lists this ribosomal RNA (226 nucleotides) under uncultured bacterium. Its description in RNAcentral is "partial 16S ribosomal RNA". It matches the Rfam family "Bacterial small subunit ribosomal RNA", at positions 524 to 744 of the family's 1533-position model. The record is from RNAcentral.